This 446-nucleotide ribosomal RNA is filed under the name uncultured bacterium. RNAcentral's name for it is "partial 16S ribosomal RNA". It matches the Rfam family "Bacterial small subunit ribosomal RNA", at positions 338 to 795 of the family's 1533-position model. The record is from RNAcentral.
CCUACGGGCGGCAGCAGUCGAGAAUCAUUCACAAUGGGGGAAACCCUGAUGGUGCGACGCCGCGUGGGGGAAUGAAGGUCUUCGGAUUGUAAACCCCUGUCAUGUGGGAGCAAAUUAAAAAGAUAGUACCACAAGAGGAAGAGACGGCUAACUCUGUGCCAGCAGCCGCGGUAAUACAGAGGUCUCAAGCGUUGUUCGGAAUCACUGGGCGUAAGGCGUGCGGAGGCUGUUUCGUAAGUCGUGUGUGAAAGGCGCGGGCUCAACCCGCGGACGGCACAUGAUACUGCGAGACUAGAGUAAUGGAGGGGGAACCGGAAUUCUCGGUGUAGCAGUGAAAUGCGUAGAUAUCGAGAGGAACACUCGUGGCGAAGGCGGGUUCCUGGACAUUAACUGACGCUGAGGCACGAAGGCCAGGGGAGCGAAAGGGAUUAGAUACCCGAGUAGUC